This 525-nucleotide ribosomal RNA is filed under the name uncultured bacterium. Its description in RNAcentral is "bacterial SSU rRNA". It matches the Rfam family "Bacterial small subunit ribosomal RNA", at positions 985 to 1509 of the family's 1533-position model. The record is from RNAcentral.
CAUCCAGNGAAUUUAGCAGAGAUGCUUUAGUGCCUUCGGGAACUCUGAGACAGGUGCUGCAUGGCUGUCGUCAGCUCGUGUUGUGAAAUGUUGGGUUAAGUCCCGNAACGAGCGCAACCCUUAUCCUUUGUUGCCAGCACGUAAUGGUGGGAACUCAAAGGAGACUGCCGGUGAUAAACCGGAGGAAGGUGGGGAUGACGUCAAGUCAUCAUGGCCCUUACGAGUAGGGCUACACACGUGCUACAAUGGCGCAUACAAAGAGAAGCGACCUCGCGAGAGCAAGCGGACCUCAUAAAGUGCGUCGUAGUCCGGAUUGGAGUCUGCAACUCGACUCCAUGAAGUCGGAAUCGCUAGUAAUCGUAAAUCAGAAUGUUACGGUGAAUACGUUCCCGGGCCUUGUACACACCGCCCGUCACACCAUGGGAGUGGGUUGCAAAAGAAGUAGAUAGCUUAACCUUCGGGAGGGCGUUUACCACUUUGUGAUUCAUGACUGGGGUGAAGUCGUAACAAGGUAGGCGUAGUGCU